CGGGUGGCAGCGGAGCUCGCAGCCUCGGUAACCCGCUUGUGUCUGUGGAGGUGAUGGGGGGGGGGGGGUGACUCAGCUCCCUCAUUCGCCCUCACUACGUUGACGGGACGCACCGUCAGGUACUUGGGAGGGGUUUCGACCAGUGCUGUUUACUCAGGAAGGAAAGAUGGAACCUCGGGACCCUGGAGUCAGCCGGCUGCUGCCUCCCUCUUCUCCCUCCCUCUCCUCCGGCCCAAUCUCCGCCAUUCUGCUCAGGAAGAUUCUGUUCCUAACACUCAGUCCUUAAGCUCAACCCUGGGAGUCCCAAGACCUGAAGAGGAGCCUCCUCCCAUCCAGGUUUACAUUUUUACAUCACUCAGCAGACCCUCCAGAUUCCGGAGGAGAGCCCUUUGCUGCGUCCCCACUGGCCUCACCAGGCACAAAAAGAACUUUCUUCUCCAGGGCUGUCAGCAAUGGCCGGGACUUCUGACUCAUCGCUAUCAGAUUUCAGAGAUGACUGUUCGUGAAGUCAUCUCGUAUCUAUAUAUUUGGUUCAGAUGCUACUAGAUAUUGCCCCUCUUUGGUCCUCUGCCCUGACUGAGGAAGAGAACCCCAUUUCUGAAGACUUGGGGAGCCAUUCUUCUUCCAUCUGGCUUGGGAUGUGGGUGGCCUUGUCUGCAAGCAGGGAAGUUGUAAAAGCACAGUCUGCAGAGCAGUUCCUCAUUCUGCUCUAGGGCUGGGACAUAAGGGGUGAGUGUUCCAUAUUCCUUAAUUCCUGUGACUCUCGGGCCUCCUGGGGGCCCGGCUGGUGAGCCACUCCAUGGGCCCUCACAGGAGCCACUAAAGCAGGCCACUCCCCUGCUUUCCACACCCUAGGAACUGCAGAUCCUUUGAGACUAUUGAACUUGUAUUUCUCAAGGUUCUUUUCCUGCCAAUAUAUUCUGUUUUAUUCCAGGGAAGAUGGGAGUAUAAUGAAAUGCUUUGUUUGUUUACAGUAUUGAUGCAGUGAGUAUGCACCUGCUAAUGGUCUGCGCAUUCCUUUUCAUGUCUAGCCACCCAUCUUGGGGUCUUGCUGCAGGAGGGACACUCUGCAGGCACUGAGCCAGGCCAGUGCAGGGGAGG
This is a long non-coding RNA of Myotis daubentonii (Daubenton's bat), 1101 nucleotides long. RefSeq lists it as uncharacterized. The record is from RefSeq and is a predicted model, not a curated record. NCBI's taxonomy places the organism in Eukaryota, Metazoa, Chordata, Mammalia, Chiroptera, Vespertilionidae.